GGGUCUGGUCUUGUUGCAUUUGAGAAGGAUGAACUCAUACAGUAAUUCCAAUACACCGUAAAGCCCAAUGUUUUCCCUCCUGGUUGUGCGUCUCCCGAUCUCCUCUGUGUCCACCUACACCAUCAGUCUCUGGCUUACACCAUUAGUCCACUGCUCAUCCUCCUGUAAUAUCAAAGAUUUUACCUGUUACCAUAUUCUCUGUCCUCAUUAUUAUCCAAUAAUACACUGCCAUUCAUAUUCAGUUCUGGCCUCAGUUCUGAACAUAUAUAUCUACUCAGUUCAGUUCUGGUCCCCCUCCUUGUGACAGUAUUAAAGCUUCUCAAAAAUAUGC
This 331-nucleotide long non-coding RNA is filed under the name Danio rerio (zebrafish). RNAcentral's name for it is "lncRNA si:ch73-226l13.3 (ENSDARG00000104131.2)". The record is from RNAcentral. Lineage: Eukaryota; Metazoa; Chordata; Actinopteri; Cypriniformes; Danionidae.